RNAcentral lists this ribosomal RNA (819 nucleotides) under uncultured eukaryote. RNAcentral's name for it is "SSU rRNA". It matches the Rfam family "Eukaryotic small subunit ribosomal RNA", at positions 629 to 1426 of the family's 1831-position model. The record is from RNAcentral.
CGGUGUUUAACUGGCGUGAUGUGGGACGUCCUACCGGUGGGCUUAGCCUCGCGAGGGGCGGCCCAACUAAUAUCCCGUCGCGGUGCUCUUUACUGAGUGUCGAGUCGGGCCGGUACGUUUACUUUGAACAAAUUAGAGUGCUUAAAGCAGGCUAUCCUCGCCUGAAUACUGCGUGCAUGGAAUAAUGGAAUAGGACCUCGGUUCUAUUUUGUUGGUUUUCGGAACCCCGAGGUAAUGAUUAAUAGGGACAGAUGGGGGCAUUCGUAUUGCGACGUUAGAGGUGAAAUUCUUGGAUCGUCGCAAGACGGACAGAAGCGAAAGCAUUUGCCAAAAAUGUUUUCACUAAUCAAGAACGAAAGUUAGAGGUUCGAAGGCGAUCAGAUACCGCCCUAGUUCUAACCAUAAACGAUGCCAGCUAGCGAUCCGCCGAAGUUCCUCCGAUGACUCGGCGGGCAGCUUCCGGGAAACCAAAGCUUUUGGGUUCCGGGGGAAGUAUGGUUGCAAAGCUGAAACUUAAAGGAAUUGACGGAAGGGCACCACCAGGAGUGGAGCCUGCGGCUUAAUUUGACUCAACACGGGAAACCUCACCAGGCCCAGACACCGGAAGGAUUGACAGAUUGAUAGCUCUUUCUUGAUUCGGUGGGUGGUGGUGCAUGGCCGUUCUUAGUUGGUGGAGCGAUUUGUCUGGUUAAUUCCGAUAACGAACGAGACUCUAGCCUGCUAAAUAGGCGUACCUUAUGGUAUCGCGAAGGCCCCCGGCUUCGGCCGGUGGGUUUUUACUACCAACGUACAAACAAAUCUUCUUAGAGGGACAGGCGG